UGGGGAAUCUUGCGCAAUGCGCGAAAGCGUGACGCAGCAACGCCGCGUGGGGGAAGAAGGCCUUCGGGUUGUAAACCCCUUUCAGGAGGGACGAAGGUCGGGCGGUGAAUAGCCGACCCGACUGACGGUACCUCCAGAAGAAGCCCCGGCUAACUACGUGCCAGCAGCCGCGGUAAUACGUAGGGGGCAAGCGUUGUCCGGAUUUAUUGGGCGUAAAGAGCGUGUAGGCGGCCAGACAGGUCCGUUGUGAAAACUCGAGGCUCAACCUCGAGAUGUCGAUGGAAACCGUCUGGCUAGAGUCCGGAAGAGGAGUGUGGAAUUCCUGGUGUAGCGGUGAAAUGCGCAGAUAUCAGGAAGAACACCUAUGGCGAAGGCAGCACUCUGGGACGGUACUGACGCUGAGACGCGAAAGCGUGGGGAGCGAACAGG
This 429-nucleotide ribosomal RNA is filed under the name Bacillota bacterium. RNAcentral's name for it is "Firmicutes bacterium partial 16S ribosomal RNA". It matches the Rfam family "Bacterial small subunit ribosomal RNA", at positions 355 to 776 of the family's 1533-position model. Lineage: Bacteria; Bacillati; Bacillota. The record is from RNAcentral.